AUGCAAUAUAUUAACAUCAGGAGCAAUAAAAAGGAUGACUAUCAACGAAUAUUUACAAAACUAGAAAAUUUCCAUGGUAUAAAUACUUCGAGCAAUGAUAUCGUAUUUCGAUUAUCACUUAACGAAAAAAGUUCAACGAGGCGAACAUGGUGACGAUCGCUAAGAUGAGACGACAAAAGUUCCACCAGUUCGACGCAGUGGUUGAGUUUCUCGUUCAUCACCUAGCAACAAAUAUUUAUAGAUGAGAUAUUAGCACCGAUAUAUACUACUAUAUAUCAGUGGAUGUUUGGUACAGCAGAGUCUAAUUUACAAUAUAGGGUCGAUGGGAUCGAUGAAAUCCUAUCUAGCAGUACAAAGAACGAUUUAUAUAGAUGAAAAAACGACCUCAAUUAUGAGUUUAUGGAUGUACAUAUUUUAAGCUAUAUGCAGUAUGUUUACAAGAAUAGACAGCUUCAGAAAGUUA
Molecule: long non-coding RNA, 463 nt
Organism: Athalia rosae (coleseed sawfly)
Lineage: Eukaryota; Metazoa; Arthropoda; Insecta; Hymenoptera; Athaliidae
Exons: 2
Source: RefSeq, a predicted model, not a curated record